Molecule: long non-coding RNA, 511 nt
Filed under: Homo sapiens (human)
Lineage: Eukaryota; Metazoa; Chordata; Mammalia; Primates; Hominidae
Description: HSALNT0008433
Source: RNAcentral
AUGCUGGGAAGCUCACCUACAUAGACACAAAAUACGUGGUACAUGUGAAGAGUUAGAGACAGAAGAAGAGCAACAGUAUCUCACCUCAAGCUAUAUUAACAUCUCCACUGAUUCAUUACAAGGUGGCAAGAAGUACUUGUCACAUCAAAAGCAUUCCAACAUGACACAUGGAAUUCUGGGCUAACAGUUGCUUCCAUCUCUACAGGGCACCUUACUUCUGCAACAGAGGAGACAUUGGACUUUUAUUGGGAAUGAUCGUCUUUGCUGUUAUGUUGUCAAUUCUUUCUUUGAUUGGGAUAUUUAACAGAUCAUUCCGAACUGGAUUAAAAGAAGGAUCUUAUUGUUAAUACCAAAGUGGCUUUAUGAAGAUAUUCCUAAUAUGAAAAACAGCAAUGUUGUGAAAAUGCUACAGAAAAUAGUGAACUUAUGAAUAAUAAUUCCAGUGAGCAGGUCCUAUAUGUUGAUCCCAUGAUUACAGAGAUAAAAGAAAUCUUCAUCCCAGAACACAAGC